AUCACAGGACUCUUAAGGAUGGAAAAUGGAGGCAACAGUUGACACCACUUAAAAAGCAGCACUGGUCAUUUCUGGACUGACCAGGAAACACUGAGGCUCACGGAAAGGUUGAAGGACUACAAAUCGAGUUAUGUGAGCUUGGGGUGUGCGUGAAAUAUACAGGAGUGCGAGUAUGUGCGAUUGCAUGUGUGUAAAUGUCACAAUUUGAAUACAUAAAAUGCAAAUAACGACACCGACAGGACCCAGGCAAGGACUUCUAGUCCACCAUGCCCAUUUGCCGCCACUCCUUUUGCAGAUUCCUUGGCUAAAAAAGGAAUAUAAAUUGCUUCCAAUGCAGAGACAUCUAUUAAAAGGACAUAAAAAAGCAUAAAAGCGGAAAUGAUGUAUGGAAAGCAGGCGCCCACCACCCCUUUGCCAAUUUAGCGAAAAGGAAAGUAGAAAGUAGAAUUGUACCCAAAAGGAGGCGACCUGUUGCCCCACAUAUUUUUGGCAGUGCUAAUUUAAGCAAUGCAGGUAAAGUCGGCUCCUCCUCCUUUCCGCAAAAAUAAUAAAAUUUACACACUUGCAAA
Long non-coding RNA from Drosophila simulans, 569 nucleotides. RefSeq lists it as uncharacterized. The record is from RefSeq and is a predicted model, not a curated record. The transcript is spliced from 2 exons. Lineage: Eukaryota; Metazoa; Arthropoda; Insecta; Diptera; Drosophilidae.